RNAcentral lists this long non-coding RNA (1519 nucleotides) under Zonotrichia albicollis (white-throated sparrow). RNAcentral describes it as "lncRNA (ENSZALG00000003270.1)". Lineage: Eukaryota; Metazoa; Chordata; Aves; Passeriformes; Passerellidae. The record is from RNAcentral.
CGGGACCUGCAGAGCCCGGGCGCCGCCGGGUGUCCCGCAGCGUCCCCGCCGUGGCCAGGGGCCUUUGGGUCGCCGUCGGCGAGCUUCGGGCGCGGCGCCCAGAGAUGCCUGCAAGACUCGGACGCCGCCUCAGCCCGGGGACGCCAGUCCAGGCCGGGAGGCGGCAGCGAGAGGAGCACGUGCUUCUGGCUAGUUCCUCGUUGGGGAUUUUCCUCCUCUCUUCUCCUUCCCGCCCCCUGCCCCGUGUUAAGGCGGUGUGUCACGCUGGUGAAUUGUGAAGUUGGUGAAGUCCAGAACAAAUCCAGCCACCGCGGGCCGCGGGUGCCCGGCUGUGUGUGGAGCAGGGCCGGGCAGUACAGCCGGCUGUCCUCCCUCGAUAGACUGUCCGGGGCUCCCGCCGCGACGCUGCUUGGUAGCCGUGUGGAUUUGGCCCCACAUGGGUGUGAAAAAGCCCUGCACGGCUGUGUGCUUGAAGGUCCAGGACCCAGACCCUGGAAGAUGCUGUCUUCUUUUGUUUGAGAACUGGAAAGAGCAGGAAUAGAGAGGAGUGUGAUGGACCCACCGCUGGCCAAGGCCAAAGCAGCCAGAGGAGGUGGUAAUGCCUUUGUGAUAUCAUACUUAAGAAGCAAAAGAGAAGUUACAGUGCAGAUGUAAUUGGGCUCAGAGAAGAGCAGAGUUAGAGUAAGAAGAGCAGCCCUGCAGACACCAAGGCUGGUGAAGGAGGGGCAGGAGGUGCUCCAGGCACCAGAGCUGAGGUUCCCCUGCAGCCGUGGUGGGACUGUGGUGAGGCAGCUGCGGCCCUGCAGCCAUGGAGGUUCCUGAGGGUGCAGAGACCCACCGGCAGACCCUGGAGGAGACCUACACUGGAGCAGAUGCAUGCCCAAAAGAAGGCUGUGACUCUGUGGGAAGUCUGCACUGUAACAGGCUCCUGGAAGGACCGGUGGAUAGAGGAGCCCAUGCAGCAGCGGGUUUGCUGGUGGGAGCUGUGACCCUGUUAGCCAUGAACACUGGAGCAGGCAGUUCUUGAAGGACUGCACCUUCAUGAGGACCUGCAGCCCAUGGCAAUGAUUCACACUGGAGAGGUUUGUGGAGAACUGUCUCCUGUGGAGGGACCCACGUGGGAGCAAUGAAAGGGCUCCGUUCCCUGAGAAGCAUCAGAAACAAUCUGUGAUGACUUGAUCAUAACCCCCAUUCUUCACCUUCCUGCACCACUGGAGAGGAGGAGGUAGAUCCUAGAAAGCAGGAAGGGGUGGGGGGGAAAGGUGUUUUUAAGAUUUAUUUUACUUCUCAUUAUUCUGCUGUGAAUUUCAAUAGUAAAAAAUUCAGUUAAUUUCUCCAAGUCAAGCCUGUUUUGCCUAUGAUAAUAAUCUGUUUGUGAUAUUUCUUGGUUCUUACCCCAUGAGCCUUUUGUUAUGUUUUCUCUCCCCUUUCCAGUUGUGGAGAGGAGUUAUAGAGUGGCACCUGUCAUCCAGCCACGGUCAAUCUGUCCCACACAAUCUCUCUAUGACUGACUUUGUUU